GCCCCGUUAGCUCAACUGGAUAGAGUACUGGUCUUCGGAACCAGUGGUACGAGUUCGACUCUUGUACGGGGCA
RNAcentral lists this transfer RNA (73 nucleotides) under Elusimicrobiaceae bacterium. RNAcentral's name for it is "tRNA-Arg". It matches the Rfam family "tRNA". Rfam says of the family: Transfer RNA (tRNA) molecules are approximately 80 nucleotides in length. Lineage: Bacteria; Pseudomonadati; Elusimicrobiota; Elusimicrobia; Elusimicrobiales; Elusimicrobiaceae. The record is from RNAcentral.